Molecule: transfer RNA, 58 nt
Filed under: Salmo salar (Atlantic salmon)
Lineage: Eukaryota; Metazoa; Chordata; Actinopteri; Salmoniformes; Salmonidae
Rfam family: tRNA
About the family: Transfer RNA (tRNA) molecules are approximately 80 nucleotides in length. Their secondary structure includes four short double-helical elements and three loops (D, anti-codon, and T loops). Further hydrogen bonds mediate the characteristic L-shaped molecular structure. tRNAs have two regions of fundamental functional importance: the anti-codon, which is responsible for specific mRNA codon recognition, and the 3' end, to which the tRNAs corresponding amino acid is attached (by aminoacyl-tRNA synthetases). tRNAs cope with the degeneracy of the genetic code in two manners: having more than one tRNA (with a specific anti-codon) for a particular amino acid; and 'wobble' base-pairing, i.e. permitting non-standard base-pairing at the 3rd anti-codon position.
Source: Rfam by way of RNAcentral
UGGCUCAGUUGGUAGAGCAUGGUGUGUGCAACGCCAGAGUUGUGGGUUUGAUUCCCAC